GGAUAAAGCUACUAAGCGUACACGGGGGAUGCCUUGGCACCAACUGCCGAAGAAGGGCGUGGCAAGACUGCGAUAAGCCUCGGUUAGUCGUCUAGCUGACUUAACCGGGGAUUCCCGAAUGGGGUAACCCAAUUCACUAAAUGUGGAUUAUCUUUGAACUAACCCUUAAUUCAAAGAAGGUAAGCAGGGGAACUGAAACAUCUAAGUACCCUGAGGAAGAGAAAUCAAAAGAGAUUCCCGUAGUAGUGGCGAACGAAAUGGGAAUAGCCUAAACCAUAGAGGCUUCACGGCUUUGGGGCCCAUGUCUUUAUGGGGUUGCAAGAAGUAUGUGUUGAGGCCCAUAACUCAACGAGGAGUAAGAAAACCAUUUUCUAUUCGAAUGUUCCUGGAACGGACAGCCAGAGAAGGUGAGAGCCCGGUAGAUUAAAGGAAAUGGUCUCCUUAUUACUUUCUUAAGUAGAGCGGGACACGUGAAAUCUUGCUUGAAUCUGGGGGGACCAUCCUCCAAGGCUAAAUACAGUUGGUGACCGAUAGUGAACUAGUACCGUGAGGGAAAGGUGAAAAGUACCCCGAGAGGGGAG
RNAcentral lists this ribosomal RNA (581 nucleotides) under SAR202 cluster bacterium. Its description in RNAcentral is "partial 23S ribosomal RNA". It matches the Rfam family "Bacterial large subunit ribosomal RNA", at positions 1 to 538 of the family's 2925-position model. Lineage: Bacteria; Bacillati; Chloroflexota; Dehalococcoidia. The record is from RNAcentral.